CCUACGGGUGGCAGCAGUAGGGAAUAUUGCACAAUGAGGGAAACCCUGAUGCAGCGACACCGCGUGAACGAUGACGGUUUUCGGAUUGUAAACUUCUGUUCUUAGUGAAGAAUAAUUGCAGUAGCUAAUGAGCAAGCCACGACUAAAGACGUUCCAGCAGCGGCGGUAAUACGUAGGGGGCCAGCGGUGUCAGGAAUUACUGGGUAUGAGUGGUGCGCAGGCGGGAUGCCAAGAUAGUUGUGCAAACUACGGGGUUAACUUGUAGCCUGCAGUUGAAACUGGUUUUCUUGAGUGAAGUAGAGGUUGGCGGAAUUCCGAGUGUAGCGGUGAAAUGCGUAGAUAUUCGGAGGAACACCGGUGGCGAAGGCGGCCAACUGGGUUUUAACUGACGCUGAGGCUCGAAAGUGUGGGGAGCAAACAGGAUUAGAUACCCGUGUAGUC
This 441-nucleotide ribosomal RNA is filed under the name uncultured bacterium. RNAcentral describes it as "partial 16S ribosomal RNA". It matches the Rfam family "Bacterial small subunit ribosomal RNA", at positions 338 to 795 of the family's 1533-position model. The record is from RNAcentral.